GGCGGCGUAGCCAAGAGGCUAAGGCAAGAGUCUGCAAAGCUCUAAGCAGUGGUUCGAGUCCACUCGCCGCCU
Molecule: transfer RNA, 72 nt
Filed under: Chloroflexi bacterium RBG_13_53_26
Lineage: Bacteria; Bacillati; Chloroflexota
Description: tRNA-Cys
Rfam family: tRNA
About the family: Transfer RNA (tRNA) molecules are approximately 80 nucleotides in length.
Source: RNAcentral